Molecule: small nuclear RNA, 184 nt
Organism: Larimichthys crocea (large yellow croaker)
Lineage: Eukaryota; Metazoa; Chordata; Actinopteri; Sciaenidae
Gene: U2
Rfam family: U2 spliceosomal RNA
About the family: U2 is a small nuclear RNA (snRNA) component of the spliceosome (involved in pre-mRNA splicing). Complementary binding between U2 snRNA (in an area lying towards the 5' end but 3' to hairpin I) and the branchpoint sequence (BPS) of the intron results the bulging out of an unpaired adenosine, on the BPS, which initiates a nucleophilic attack at the intronic 5' splice site, thus starting the first of two transesterification reactions that mediate splicing.
Source: Ensembl
UUCGCUUCUCGGCCUUUUUGACUAUGAUCAAGUGUAGUAUCUGUUCUUAUCAGUUUAAUAUCUGACACGUCCCCUACCCAGGGACCAUAUAUUAAAUUGAUUUUUGGAGCAGGGAGAUGGACUAGGGGCUUGUUCCGUCCACUCCAUGCAUCGACCCAGUAUCUCCGGGAACGGUGCAACGGUG